RNAcentral lists this transfer RNA (72 nucleotides) under Camelus bactrianus (Bactrian camel). It matches the Rfam family "tRNA". From Rfam's summary of the family: Transfer RNA (tRNA) molecules are approximately 80 nucleotides in length. Their secondary structure includes four short double-helical elements and three loops (D, anti-codon, and T loops). Further hydrogen bonds mediate the characteristic L-shaped molecular structure. tRNAs have two regions of fundamental functional importance: the anti-codon, which is responsible for specific mRNA codon recognition, and the 3' end, to which the tRNAs corresponding amino acid is attached (by aminoacyl-tRNA synthetases). tRNAs cope with the degeneracy of the genetic code in two manners: having more than one tRNA (with a specific anti-codon) for a particular amino acid; and 'wobble' base-pairing, i.e. permitting non-standard base-pairing at the 3rd anti-codon position. The record is from Rfam by way of RNAcentral. Lineage: Eukaryota; Metazoa; Chordata; Mammalia; Artiodactyla; Camelidae. RNAcentral also lists the same sequence under 1 other name.
GAGGGUGUAACUCAGUGGUAGAGCACGUGCUUAGCAUGCACAAGGUCCUGGGUUCAAUCCCCAGUACCUCCA